This 240-nucleotide ribosomal RNA is filed under the name Clostridioides difficile. RNAcentral describes it as "partial 23S ribosomal RNA". It matches the Rfam family "Bacterial large subunit ribosomal RNA", at positions 1518 to 1757 of the family's 2925-position model. The record is from RNAcentral. Lineage: Bacteria; Bacillati; Bacillota; Clostridia; Peptostreptococcales; Peptostreptococcaceae.
AUUGAGGCAGUCAAAGUAGGCAAAUCCGCUUUGAUAAUGCUGGGAUGUGAUGGGGAGCGAAAUUUAGUAGCGAAGUAGCUGAUUUCACACUGUCAAGAAAAGUCUCUAUCGAGGUUAAAGGUACCCGGACCGCAAACCGACACAGGUGGGUGAGGAGAGUAUCCUAAGGCCAGCGAGAGAACUGUUGUUAAGGAACUCGGCAAAAUGACCCCGUAACUUAGGGAUAAGGGGUGCCACCAU